Molecule: ribosomal RNA, 440 nt
Filed under: uncultured bacterium
Lineage: Bacteria
Description: bacterial SSU rRNA
Rfam family: Bacterial small subunit ribosomal RNA
Source: RNAcentral
CCUACGGGAGGCACCAGUGGGGAAUAUUGGACAAUGGGCGCAAGCCUGAUCCAGCCAUGCCGCGCGAGUGAUGAAGGCCUUAGGGUUGUAAAGCUCUUUUAUCCGGGACGAUAAUGACGGUACCGGAGGAAUAAGCCCCGGCUAACUUCGUGCCAGCAGCCGCGGUAAUACGAAGGGGGCUAGCGUUGCUCGGAAUCACUGGGCGCAAAGGGCGCGUAGGCGGCGUUUUAAGUCGGGGGUGAAAGCCUGUGGCUCAACCACAGAAUGGCCUUCGAUACUGGGACGCUUGAGUAUGGUAGAGGUUGGUGGAACUGCGAGUGUAGAGGUGAAAUUCGUAGAUAUUCGCAAGAACACCGGUGGCGAAGGCGGCCAACUGGACCAUCACUGACGCUGAGGCGCGAAAGCGUGGGGAGCAAACAGGAUUAGAUACCCGUGUAGUC